GACGAACGCUGGCGGCGUGCCUAAUACAUGCAAGUAGAACGCUGACGGCGGAGCUUGCUCUUCUGGGUGAGUUGCGAACGGGUGAGUAACGCGUAGGUAACCUGCCUGGUAGCGGGGGAUCACUAUUGGACACGAUAGCUCAUACCGCAUAAGAGUAGAUGUUGCAUGACAUUUACUUAAAAGGUGCACUUGCUUCACUACUAGAUGCACCUGCGUUGUAUUAGCUAUAUGGUGGGGUAACGGCUUACCAAGCCGACGUUACCUAGCCGACCUGCGAGGGUGAUCGGCCAUACUGGGACGGAGAGAAGGCCCAGACCCCGACGGGAGGCAGCAGGAGGGAAUCUUCGGCAAUGGACGGAAGGCUGAACGAGCAACGCCGGGGGAGUGAAGAAGGUUUUCGGAUCGGAAAGCUCUGUUGUAAGAGAAGAACGAGUGUGAGAGUGGAAAGUGCACACUGUGACGGUAUCUUAGCAGAAAGGGACGGCUAACUACGUG
Molecule: ribosomal RNA, 495 nt
Filed under: uncultured bacterium
Lineage: Bacteria
Description: partial 16S ribosomal RNA
Rfam family: Bacterial small subunit ribosomal RNA
Source: RNAcentral